CCUACGGGCGGCAGCAGUGGGGAAUAUUGGACAAUGGGGGCAACCCUGAUCCAGCCAUGCCGCGUGUGUGAAGAAGGCCCUCGGGUUGUAAAGCACUUUCAGUGAGGAAGAACGCCUGGUGGUUAAUACCCAUCAGGAAAGACAUCACUCACAGAAGAAGCACCGGCUAACUCCGUGCCAGCAGCCGCGGUAAUACGGAGGGUGCGAGCGUUAAUCGGAAUUACUGGGCGUAAAGCGCGCGUAGGUGGCUUGAUAAGCCGGUUGUGAAAGCCCCGGGCUCAACCUGGGAACGGCAUCCGGAACUGUCAAGCUAGAGUGCAGGAGAGGAAGGUAGAAUUCCCGGUGUAGCGGUGAAAUGCGUAGAGAUCGGGAGGAAUACCAGUGGCGAAGGCGGCCUUCUGGACUGAAACUGACACUGAGGUGCGAAAGCGUGGGUAGCAAACAGGAUUAGAUACCCGAGUAGUC
This 465-nucleotide ribosomal RNA is filed under the name Vreelandella stevensii. Its description in RNAcentral is "partial 16S ribosomal RNA". It matches the Rfam family "Bacterial small subunit ribosomal RNA", at positions 338 to 795 of the family's 1533-position model. The record is from RNAcentral. Lineage: Bacteria; Pseudomonadati; Pseudomonadota; Gammaproteobacteria; Oceanospirillales; Halomonadaceae.